Molecule: non-coding RNA, 28 nt
Filed under: Mus musculus (house mouse)
Lineage: Eukaryota; Metazoa; Chordata; Mammalia; Rodentia; Muridae
Source: RNAcentral
UGGGAAGUGGGAUAGGCUUGCUGAGCUG